CGGGUGAGUAUGUAUGGGAUCUGCCUGAUGGCGGGGAUAACUACUGGAAACGGUAGCUAAUACCGCAUAACGUCGCAAGACCAAAGAGGGGGGCCUUCGGGGCCUCUUGCCAUCGGAUGUGCCCAGAUGGGAUUAGCUAGUAGGUGGGGUAACGGCUCACCUAGGCGACGAUCCCUAGCUGGUCUGAGAGGAUGAUCAGCCACACUGGGACUGAGACACGGCCCAG
Molecule: ribosomal RNA, 226 nt
Filed under: uncultured bacterium
Lineage: Bacteria
Description: partial 16S ribosomal RNA
Rfam family: Bacterial small subunit ribosomal RNA
Source: RNAcentral